This 808-nucleotide ribosomal RNA is filed under the name uncultured Actinomycetes bacterium. Its description in RNAcentral is "bacterial SSU rRNA". It matches the Rfam family "Bacterial small subunit ribosomal RNA", at positions 58 to 879 of the family's 1533-position model. The record is from RNAcentral. Lineage: Bacteria; Bacillati; Actinomycetota; Actinomycetes.
CAAGUCGAGCGUGAAGCGGGACUUCGGUCCCGUGGAAAGCGGCGAACGGGUGCGUAACACGUGAGCAACCUGCCCCGAAGACUGGGAUAACCCGAGGAAACUCGGGCUAAUACCGGAUGUCCUCUCCCGACCACAUGAUUGGAAGAGGAAAUGUUCAGGCGCUUCGGGAUGGGCUCGCGGUCUAUCAGCUUGUUGGUGGGGUAACGGCCUACCAAGGCGACGACGGAUAGCUGGUCUGAGAGGACGAUCAGCCACACUGGGACUGAGACACGGCCCAGACUCCUACGGGAGGCAGCAGUAGGGAAUCUUGCGCAAUGGGGGAAACCCUGACGCAGCGACGCCGCGUGCGGGAUGAAGGCCUUCGGGUUGUAAACCGCUUUCAGCAGGGACGAAAUUGACGGUACCUGCAGAAGAAGGCCCGGCCAACUACGUGCCAGCAGCCGCGGUAAUACGUAGGGGCCUAGCGUUGUCCGGAUUUAUUGGGCGUAAAGAGCUCGUAGGCGGUUCGGUAAGUCAGGUGUGAAAUCUCCACGCUCAACGUGGAGGCGCCACCUGAAACUGCCGUGACUCGAGUCCGGUAGGGGAGUGUGGAAUUCCCGGUGUAGCGGUGAAACGCGCAGAUAUCGGGAGGAACACCAGUGGCGAAGGCGGCACUCUGGGCCGGUACUGACGCUGAGGAGCGAAAGCGUGGGGAGCGAACAGGAUUAGAUACCCUGGUAGUCCACGCCGUAAACGUUGGGCACUAGGUGUGGGACUCUAUCGACGGGUUCCGUGCCGUAGCUAACGCAUUAAGUGCCCCGCCUGGGGA